Malania oleifera is the source of this 88-nucleotide small nucleolar RNA. The record is from RefSeq and is a predicted model, not a curated record. Lineage: Eukaryota; Viridiplantae; Streptophyta; Magnoliopsida; Santalales; Ximeniaceae.
UUGGGGCAAUGAUGUUUUGAACUACCUAUUUUCUGAGAGAUACACUCUCUUAUGACGACUAAACACCAAUGGAUCCUUCUGAGCCUCA